RNAcentral lists this ribosomal RNA (394 nucleotides) under uncultured bacterium. RNAcentral describes it as "bacterial SSU rRNA". It matches the Rfam family "Bacterial small subunit ribosomal RNA", at positions 28 to 428 of the family's 1533-position model. The record is from RNAcentral.
GACGAACGCUGGCGGCGUGCUUAACACAUGCAAGUCGAACGGUAAGGCCCUUCGGGUACGACGAGUGGCGAACGGGUGAGUAACACGUGGGUGAUCUGCCCUGCACUUCGGGAUAAGCCUGGGAAACUGGGUCUAAUACCGGAUAGGACUCCUGGCUUCAUGGUUGGGGGUGUAAAGCUUUUGCGGUGUGGGAUGGGCCCGCGGCCUAUCAGCUUGUUGGUGGGGUAAUGGCCUACCAAGGCGACGACGGGUUAGCCGGCCUGAGAGGGUGACCGGCCACACUGGGACUGAGAUACGGCCCAGACUCCUACGGGAGGCAGCAGUGGGAAUAUUGCACAAUGGGCGCAAGCCUGAUGCAGCGACGCCGCGUGAGGGAUGACGGCCUCGGUUGUAA